AGCUGGCGAGGAUGGCACUGACGCUGAGGCACGAAGGCGUGGGGAUCGAACAGGAUUAGAUACCCUGGUAGUCCACGCAGUAAACGAUGGCGACUUGUUGUCGGCGACAGACAGCCGGUGACAAAGCGAAAGCGAUAAGUCGCCCACCUGGGGAGUACGAUCGCAAGGUUGAAACUCAAAGGAAUUGACGGGGGCCCGCACAAGCGGAGGAGCAUGUGGUUUAAUUCGAUGAUACGCGAGGAACCUUACCUGGACUCAAAUGUUGGGUGGCCGGGGCAGAGAUGCCCCUUCCCUUCGGGGCGCCCAGCAAGGUGCUGCAUGGUUGUCGUCAGCUCGUGCCGUGAGGUGUCAGGUUAAGUCCUAUAACGAGCGCAACCCCUACGUCCAGUUGCCAGCGGGUCAGGCCGGGGACUCUGGACGGACUGCCGGCGCAAGCCGAGAGGAAGGCGGGGAUGACGUCAAAUCAGCACGGCCCUUACGUCCAGGGCGACACACGUGCUACAAUGGCCGGUACAGAGGGCAGCCACGCCGCGAGGCGGAGCGAAUCUCGAAAGCCGGUCUCAGUUCGGAUCGGAGUCUGCAACCCGACUCCGUGAAGUUG
This 601-nucleotide ribosomal RNA is filed under the name uncultured bacterium. RNAcentral describes it as "bacterial SSU rRNA". It matches the Rfam family "Bacterial small subunit ribosomal RNA", at positions 723 to 1328 of the family's 1533-position model. The record is from RNAcentral.